RNAcentral lists this ribosomal RNA (1270 nucleotides) under Serratia fonticola. RNAcentral's name for it is "partial 23S ribosomal RNA". It matches the Rfam family "Bacterial large subunit ribosomal RNA", at positions 1579 to 2833 of the family's 2925-position model. Lineage: Bacteria; Pseudomonadati; Pseudomonadota; Gammaproteobacteria; Enterobacterales; Yersiniaceae. The record is from RNAcentral.
ACGGUGCAGAAGUAGUUGAUGCCCUGCUUCCAGGAAAAGCCUCUAAGCAUCAGGUAACAUCAAAUCGUACCCCAAACCGACACAGGUGGUCAGGUAGAGAAUACCAAGGCGCUUGAGAGAACUCGGGUGAAGGAACUAGGCAAAAUGGUGCCGUAACUUCGGGAGAAGGCACGCUGGCGCGUAGGUGAAGAGACUUGCUCUCGGAGCUGAAGCCAGUCGCAGAUACCAGCUGGCUGCAACUGUUUAAUAAAAACACAGCACUGUGCAAACACGAAAGUGGACGUAUACGGUGUGACGCCUGCCCGGUGCUGGAAGGUUAAUUGAUGGGGUCAGCCGCAAGGCGAAGCUCUUGAUCGAAGCCCCAGUAAACGGCGGCCGUAACUAUAACGGUCCUAAGGUAGCGAAAUUCCUUGUCGGGUAAGUUCCGACCUGCACGAAUGGCGUAAUGAUGGCCAGGCUGUCUCCACCCGAGACUCAGUGAAAUUGAACUCGCUGUGAAGAUGCAGUGUACCCGCGGCAAGACGGAAAGACCCCGUGAACCUUUACUAUAGCUUGACACUGAACAUUGAGCCUUGAUGUGUAGGAUAGGUGGGAGGCUUUGAAGUGUGGACGCCAGUCUGCAUGGAGCCAACCUUGAAAUACCACCCUUUAAUGUUUGAUGUUCUAACUCGGCCCCGUAAUCCGGGGUGAGGACAGUGUCUGGUGGGUAGUUUGACUGGGGCGGUCUCCUCCCAAAGAGUAACGGAGGAGCACGAAGGUUAGCUAAUCACGGUCGGACAUCGUGAGGUUAGUGCAAAGGCAUAAGCUAGCUUGACUGCGAGAGUGACGGCUCGAGCAGGUACGAAAGUAGGUCUUAGUGAUCCGGUGGUUCUGAAUGGAAGGGCCAUCGCUCAACGGAUAAAAGGUACUCCGGGGAUAACAGGCUGAUACCGCCCAAGAGUUCAUAUCGACGGCGGUGUUUGGCACCUCGAUGUCGGCUCAUCACAUCCUGGGGCUGAAGUAGGUCCCAAGGGUAUGGCUGUUCGCCAUUUAAAGUGGUACGCGAGCUGGGUUUAGAACGUCGUGAGACAGUUCGGUCCCUAUCUGCCGUGGGCGUUGGAAGAUUGAGAGGGGUUGCUCCUAGUACGAGAGGACCGGAGUGAACGCACCACUGGUGUUCGGGUUGUCAUGCCAAUGGCACUGCCCGGUAGCUAAGUGCGGAAAAGAUAAGCGCUGAAAGCAUCUAAGCGCGAAACUUGCCUCGAGAUGAGUCUUCCCUGGGCCUUUAAGG